Molecule: long non-coding RNA, 2740 nt
Filed under: Salvia miltiorrhiza (redroot sage)
Lineage: Eukaryota; Viridiplantae; Streptophyta; Magnoliopsida; Lamiales; Lamiaceae
Description: long non-coding RNA (SMIL_LNC006678)
Source: RNAcentral
GAUCUUUUGCUCCUGGGUUUGGUUGGUGCUUGUUUUGAGAUUGUGCCCCUCUGGAGUUCACCCUGUACUGAAGUUUGUUUGGUGGCCAGUUUGUCUUGUUGUUUGCUUUGGUGUUUCCUGGGGCCACGGUUGUCUUUUGCACAGGUGACCAGAGCAGGGAGGAUUCAUAAUGCGUUCGGUGGGAAUCCUGUGCUGACUGCUCGGCUUAGUCCGGCUAGUGCAGAUCUCUCUAGAUGGCCUAAGCUGUCCCCUCGAGUUUUGUGUUGGCUCUUUUGUGCUUGAGCUGUGUUUCUUCCGGCUUAGGGGGACGACUCGCCGAUGGGUUUUGGUUGGCCGUAAUCUGUGGCGGCGGCUUUCCCGUCCCCUUAACUGUGGUUCUUGUUUUUUUUUGGUUUCGUUAGGUGGUAUUGCGUCCUUACAUUGGUCCCUUGUUGUACUGUCUUUUCGUUCACCUAGUUUUGUAACAACUUUUCUUUCUUUCUUUUCAAUAAAAUUUUCAUUACAGCANAUAGUUUAAAUUACAUGGUUUUUGUCUUACUCACUAAUUAGAUCUAAUCAGAUUUCAAGUCGGCUAAUAGUCUGGCUUUUCGCCUUUCUUCAAGUUUGGCUUUUCAUAUUUGAGAGCUCGAAACCCGAGUUUCUUUUUGACCUGCAAUCUCAUUUAAGAUAAUUUAUGAAUAUUUAUCGUUCGUUUUGGGCUAUAAAUCAACUAUUGGACUUAAAAUUAGAUAUUGGCUUUUGAGCCUUUACUCAUAAAUCGAGCUUUUUAGACAAAAACAUGGACCGCCAGAAAACAUCAUCAUCAAUAGUUUCACCAUCACAGGCACACCACAAAUUCAAAAAAGAUAAUCUAGUAGAGCAUUGUUUUGAGAACCAUCACACCAUGCAACAUAAUUAAAUAAAAAUAAAAACAUGUGGAUUAUGGUUUCGCCAUCACAGGCACACCAUAAACAGUUAUGAUAACAUUAUCACCAUGCAUCAGUAAUCAACUCCAUGAAAUAGGUCGGUGCAAUAUCAUUGAUGGUACUCGGCUAUCUUAGUUGAUGUCAAUGUGGUCUACCAAAAAACCGGCACACAAAGCUUCAAGGAACUUGAUCGCCAAUAUACCGCAAUCAUGCAAGUUUUCCUGGAGCGGUAUCCUGUCGUAGAAUGUGACUUUUCCAAACGUCCUUAACAGGAUGUGGAAUGUAAAUGUCUUAAUUAACUCCAACAGCACUACAGAGCCAUGCAACCGACUUUCCCACAUGUUGAAAAUAAAGUACUGUGAUUGUUUCAUUGCUAAGGCCAAGGUCAUAAAGUACCUAGUGGUUUUGAUUCACAUAAGCUACUCUGUAAACACAGUCGCAGGAUUUUCAUGGAACAUCAUGUUGUUUGACGUACUUCAAGUAUUUCAUAAGGCAUCCUGGAGUUCAAUAUGAUCUGGACAAUAAUAGGGUAGAUAACAGAUCAUCAGUACUUCCUAAGGUACGGAGUUUCUUGGAGACAUGGUUGGAGACAUGUUUGGAUCGAGACUGACUGCGCUUAUUUGGUGGAUCUUUUCAGUUCUCGGUCAAACACGGUUCCUUGGAGGUUCUUCAGUCGCUGGCGUAAGGUUCUCUCUUCCCUUGCUGGUUUUCAUUUUAUUAUCACUCACAUCUACAGGGAAGGGAACCGGGUUGCAGAUUGUUUGGCUUCUUCUGUAGCGGAGGAAGGCUAUUGGAAUUUUACGAUCCCGGAUAUCCUACAGUUGGUGAAGGAUGACAGGCGGCAACUUCCUUACAUUCGGGUUGUCACUUGAGCUUGGUCUCCUUGGGGCACUGGUUUGUGUUUGUUUUGGUUGUUGAUCUGGUUCUUUUGGUCCUGCUGUCCGGGUGUUGGGAAGGUUUCCAAAGUUUGGGUAGUCACACUUGGCGGUCCUUGCUUGUCGUGAUUUGUCCGGUAGAUGCUAGCAGGAGUGUCUUCACUCGAUAAGCUUAAUUCUUCUCUGGUUUUGGAGUUUGCUGCUGGUCUCUGCUCCUCUGAUGGAUCCUCAUUAUGAGCAUGGGAAACCGCGCGGGAAAACUUGGGUUACCACCAAUGGUUUCAUCCCGUGAUUAUGACCUUAAAAGCACGUGCUUAAUAAGUUUGAGAAUUGAUUAUAAAAGUAAUUGCUUUAGGAGAUUCACUGCUAGCGGAGAACUGGGUCUGAUCGUCUUGUUUGGUCUUCUCGCUGUGACGUCCCUUGCUUUUGUUCUUCCCUUCAUCUGUGAUGGUUGGAUCUUUUGCUCCUGGGUUUGGUUGGUGCUUGUUUUGAGAUUGUGCCCCUCUGGAGUUCACCCUGUACUGAAGUUUGUUUGGUGGCCAGUUUGUCUUGUUGUUUGCUUUGGUGUUUCCUGGGGCCACGGUUGUCUUUUGCACAGGUGACCAGAGCAGGGAGGAUUCAUAAUGCGUUCGGUGGGAAUCCUGUGCUGACUGCUCGGCUUAGUCCGGCCAGUGCAGAUCUCUCUAGAUGGCCUAAGCUGUCCCCUCGGGUUUUGUUGUUGGCUCUUUUGUGCUUGAGCUGUGUUUCUUCCGGCUUAGGGGGACGACUCGCCGAUGGGUUUUGGUUUGGCCGUAAUCUGUGGCGGCGGCUUUCCCGUCCCCCUUAACUGUGGUUCUGUUUUUUUUGGUUUUUCGUUAGGUGGUAUUGCGCCUUACAUUGGUCCCUUGUUGUACUGCUUUUCGUUUCACCAGUUUUGUAACAACUUUUCUUUCUUUCUUUUCAAUAAAAUUUUCAUUACAG